This 413-nucleotide RNase P RNA is filed under the name Planctomycetota bacterium. RNAcentral describes it as "Planctomycetes bacterium (groundwater metagenome) RNase P RNA component class A". It matches the Rfam family "Bacterial RNase P class A". Rfam says of the family: Ribonuclease P (RNase P) is a ubiquitous endoribonuclease, found in archaea, bacteria and eukarya as well as chloroplasts and mitochondria. Its best characterised activity is the generation of mature 5'-ends of tRNAs by cleaving the 5'-leader elements of precursor-tRNAs. The record is from RNAcentral. Lineage: Bacteria; Pseudomonadati; Planctomycetota.
CCGGCGGGUCGGGCGGCCGCCCCCUCUGCUUCUUGCGAAGCAAGAGAGGGGGAGGAAAGUCCGGGCAGGACAGGGCGCGGUGAUGGCUAACAGCCAUCUCCCCCAUGCUUUCUUGCAAAAGCAAAAAUGGGGGACGGGAAAGUGCCACAGAAAAUACACAGCCCCCUCUCUUGCUUCGCAAGAAGCUGAGGGGGCAAUGGUGAAAAGGUGCGGUAAGAGCGCACCGCGGCAAUGGUGACACUGCCGGCACGGCAAACCCCACCGCCUGCAAGACCAAGUAUGCCGGUAUGCUCUGCCCGAGCGUUAUUCCGGCGGGUAGGUCGCUUGAGCCUGUCAGCAAUGGCAGGCCUUAGAGAAAUGGUCGCAUCCCGAUUUAUCGGGAACAGAACCCGGCUUAUAGACCCACCGGACAA